This 250-nucleotide ribosomal RNA is filed under the name uncultured bacterium. RNAcentral's name for it is "partial 16S ribosomal RNA". It matches the Rfam family "Bacterial small subunit ribosomal RNA", at positions 57 to 305 of the family's 1533-position model. The record is from RNAcentral.
GCAAGUCGAACGGUAACAUGUCUAGCUUGCUAGAUGAUGACGAGUGGCGGACGGGUGAGUAAUGUAUAGGAACUUACCUAGUAGUGGGGGACAACGUGUGGAAACGCACGCUAAUACCGCAUACGCUCUACGGAGGAAAGCAGGGGAUCUUCGGACCUUGCGCUAUUAGAUGGGCCUAUAUUGGAUUAGCUAGUUGGUAAGGUAAAAGCUUACCACGGCGACGAUCCAUAGCUGGUCUGAGAGGAUGGAC